AUGGCAUGUGCCUUUGAAAUUGUUUCCCCUUUGCCAGGGAAGAACAGGCCUGAAGUAGAUAGAGCCCAUGAGCAAUCUGCCUACAGAUCUCGGACCUGGAAUCAGAAAGGAAGCCUCUGGGUACCUAUGAGAGGAUGCGUGGCGAAGGUCCUCCUUGGAAGCAUGAUGUUGAAUGUGUCUUUGUUGAGGUCUGAAGAAACUGAGGCCAUGAUGAGUGAGCCGUCUAUUCUGGAGGGCUGAAGUCAUGGACAGCUAAAUCAGAAGGAGUUCGAGAAAUCGUUUGGUCUGUCCCUCAGCCUGUGGGCAUUGGUUGAAGCUGACAGGUGGAAACCCAGAGUUGGCCCAGACAUGAUGGGUGGUAGAGAUGCCAACUUGUGGGAGAGAAGGUUUGGCUCCUCUCCUGGGAGCUGUGUCUGGCCAAAGGCUGCCUCUUCCCACCUCCUGCUGGAACUGGUUCUUUUAUAGCUGAUGUUAUCAUUGCUCCAUUGGCCUAGUCCAGUGGCUGUGGUCUCAUAACAAUUUUCCUUAUAUACUUAUGGUUCUAGAACUAGGCUAAGAGCACAUACACUCUUCUCCAUCUCUCUUGGUCCAUCAGAAAUGGCACAUCUCCCAAUCAGACCUACCACCCUUACUCAGUAAUUCCAACCAUGGAGGGUAAACACUGAAACCUUCAGAAUUUAUAGGGACUGCACUGCAUCAUUGAAACAACCAGAUAUACCCAUUCUAAACUUGUGUCUUUGGCUGUAAGUUCAUAGACAAAGAGAGAUCACUCUUUACUGAAUCUCAUCCCCAUUGACAUUUCCUGUCCGAGGUCCUGAAUGUGGCUGGGAGACAACUCCUUUUUCUUAAAGCCAAGAUGGCUCCUAACCAGGAAAUCUCAGUACCAACCACUAUUUCCUUUCCUGGGCUGCCCUUCUACUCCAGGUCCCCUUCUCUCCUGCCACCAUUGCCUUUUCCUUUCCUUCUUUCUCUUCUCUUUCUUUCUCAGCAAGUUUUUUAUGUGAUUACAGGCACUGCAUGGUAAUUAGUGCUAAACUCAUUUGCACAACUACAGUUAAUUGGCUACAACAAUUAAUUAAUGUGUUGGAAAUUUGGCACUGGAAAAAAAAAGUUUGUCAUCAAAAAAAAGGGCAAAAAAUUGUAGAGUGAGAUACCCAUAAAAAUCGAGGGCAGGCUUCAAAAGCCCAGCUGGGCCUCAAACUUCAGGCUGGCCUCUGAUGCCUUCCUAUUCUCAACUUCAACACAUUUUCCUCUUUCCUCUUUCAUUUUUUUUUCUCUUCCUUUCUUUCUCUAUUUCUCUUCUCUCUCCAUUUUUUUUUUUUUACAACUUAAGCAAACUCAUUUCCCUGAUAAAAUAUAGCAUGACUAAUGGCUAGAGC
RNAcentral lists this long non-coding RNA (1379 nucleotides) under Suricata suricatta (meerkat). RNAcentral describes it as "lncRNA (ENSSSUG00005012573.1)". The record is from RNAcentral. Lineage: Eukaryota; Metazoa; Chordata; Mammalia; Carnivora; Herpestidae.